RNAcentral lists this long non-coding RNA (333 nucleotides) under Ovis aries (sheep). Its description in RNAcentral is "lncRNA (ENSOARG00000025317.1)". The record is from RNAcentral. Lineage: Eukaryota; Metazoa; Chordata; Mammalia; Artiodactyla; Bovidae.
AUGUGCUUGUUUUGUCUUUUCUGUAUGAGCUACUUAAGAGCAGAGACACAUAAGGAAGGAAGGCAAAAUGAAAGAGAAGGAGAGACAAAGACAGAGGGAGGGAGAGAGGGAGUUUCUCAAAGUUUUGUUUAUAACAAUUUUAUCCUUUCUUCCAUAGAGGUAUCUGUUUCAUUAGGAAAGAGCUCUGAGAAAGCAAAAUUACUUUAUUUGGACAACAGCUAGAAAUAUUUCCUGUUUAUUUCUCUGACAUAUUGUACUGUAGAGUUGCUUAUAAACAGAUUUUGUAAAAUCAAUAACAGUUUAAAGAAAAUGCAAAGCAUCUAGCUAGUCACA